GGGCCGAUAGCUCAGCUGGGAGAGCGCCGCGUUCGCAAUGCGGAGGUCGGGAGUUCGAUCCUCCUUCGGUCCAC
RNAcentral lists this transfer RNA (74 nucleotides) under Chitinimonas prasina. RNAcentral describes it as "tRNA-Ala". It matches the Rfam family "tRNA". From Rfam's summary of the family: Transfer RNA (tRNA) molecules are approximately 80 nucleotides in length. Their secondary structure includes four short double-helical elements and three loops (D, anti-codon, and T loops). The record is from RNAcentral. RNAcentral also lists the same sequence under 2 other names. Lineage: Bacteria; Pseudomonadati; Pseudomonadota; Betaproteobacteria; Neisseriales; Chitinibacteraceae.